AUGACUAGUCUCGCUGUGCCAGACCUUCCUCCACAGUGUUGUGGAGGAGGGUCUGGCUAGUCACACAGCAUUCUAGGAUGGGAGAAAAACUUGCUCUGGUUUAUUGGCAUUUCUUUAAACCAAUCACAAU
Molecule: non-coding RNA, 130 nt
Organism: Sander lucioperca (pikeperch)
Lineage: Eukaryota; Metazoa; Chordata; Actinopteri; Perciformes; Percidae
Source: Ensembl